UACGUAGGGGCUAGCGUUAUCCGGAAUUACUGGGCGUAAAGGGUGCGUAGGUGGUUUCUUAAGUCAGAGGUGAAAGGCUACGGCUCAACCGUAGUAAGCCUUUGAAACUGAGAAACUUGAGUGCAGGAGAGGAGAGUAGAAUUCCUAGUGUAGCGGUGAAAUGCGUAGAUAUUAGGAGGAACACCAGUGGCGAAGGCGGCUUCCUGGUCUGUAACUGACACUGAGGCGCGAAAGCGUGGGGAGCAAACAGGAUUAGAUACCCGCGUAGUCCCUGAG
RNAcentral lists this ribosomal RNA (276 nucleotides) under uncultured prokaryote. RNAcentral describes it as "partial 16S ribosomal RNA". It matches the Rfam family "Bacterial small subunit ribosomal RNA", at positions 524 to 801 of the family's 1533-position model. The record is from RNAcentral.